AAGAUAAUUGAAUAAGCUGAAGCCGGUUACAUUAGAUUGAUUUCAUGCACAGAGACUAAAAGUAGCUUGGUCAUGUAAUAAAAGGUUCGGCUUAAAUCUUUUAGGGUAUAAGACUUAGUUUGGAAAAUAAUACUUUUGAUUGGCCUCAAGGAUCCAAGGUUCGAAAAGUGGCCCCCUCGUUAGAAGGGAUCUUAUGUCGUUCAUCAAUUCCAAUUCAGAGGUGUUCAUAGAUUAACAAACUU
This 242-nucleotide long non-coding RNA is filed under the name Elaeis guineensis (African oil palm). RNAcentral describes it as "long non-coding RNA (EGUI_LNC046193)". Lineage: Eukaryota; Viridiplantae; Streptophyta; Magnoliopsida; Arecales; Arecaceae. The record is from RNAcentral.